AAUGAAGUGCCUGAUUAAAGGAUUACCUUGAUAGGGUAAAUCAAGUAACAGUAGGUUACCUUCAUUA
Molecule: transfer RNA, 67 nt
Filed under: Sphaeronemoura elephas
Lineage: Eukaryota; Metazoa; Arthropoda; Insecta; Plecoptera; Nemouridae
Description: tRNA-Ile
Source: RNAcentral